GGAGAGCUGGCUGAGCGGUCGAAAGCGGCGGUCUUGAAAACCGUUGAACUGAAAGGUUCCGGGGUUCGAAUCCCUCGCUCUCCGCCA
This 87-nucleotide transfer RNA is filed under the name Thiothrix sp. RNAcentral describes it as "tRNA-Ser". It matches the Rfam family "tRNA". From Rfam's summary of the family: Transfer RNA (tRNA) molecules are approximately 80 nucleotides in length. Lineage: Bacteria; Pseudomonadati; Pseudomonadota; Gammaproteobacteria; Thiotrichales; Thiotrichaceae. The record is from RNAcentral.